UAAUGCCUGGGGUAUUCGUUAACCUCUUAUAUGUUCAACCGACUCAUUUACUUGGGGAGUUAGAUGUUACGCAGCUGCCAAGCCUCCUAAGAGUGGAAGGCAAAAACAUAACUAGAAAACGCCCACCUGCUGAGAAGCGGGUAUGAACAUACGAGAGCACGGUACCGUGGGCCGACA
RNAcentral lists this non-coding RNA (177 nucleotides) under Sporomusa sphaeroides. RNAcentral describes it as "6S RNA". It matches the Rfam family "6S / SsrS RNA". Rfam says of the family: E. coli 6S RNA was the first non coding RNA to be sequenced, but its function was unknown until recently. It consists of 184 nucleotides that fold into an extended hairpin structure with a large single-stranded internal bulge. RNAcentral also lists the same sequence under 1 other name. Lineage: Bacteria; Bacillati; Bacillota; Negativicutes; Selenomonadales; Sporomusaceae. The record is from RNAcentral.